CCCUUUAUUUUUAGCCUUCCUUAGGGAGGUAGUUGAGGAGAGCGAGAGCGAGGGCCGGCGGAGGGGCGCUGGUUUGCGAGGUGCGGGCCGCCGGCUCGGAAGGCGAGGUUAGAGGCCGCUCCGACGAGGGAGCGGUAACGGCGCGGGCUAAGGGCUAAGGGUCCCAGGACGCCGCCGCCGUGCUCUGAGUGAGCUCCUGCUGGAACCAAGGCCGCCCAAAGGGAGGGGCAGCUGAGCUGAUCCUCUCCCUUCGGUACUUCUAGUCGCGUGAGGACUGGAGACGCCCGUAGUUAUAGCCCGAGAGGCACGAGAAAGACAGCGAGAUAAGACAAGACUCCUUCGUCGGUCGGUUACAGUCCCAGAUGAAGCCGGCGUCCUAAAGGCUCCUCGUAUCAGCCGAGGCUCUCCGAAAAUAAAACCUCUCCAAACAAGGUAGUUGACCGACCUAGCAGUUCCGGGACUCCAUAUGGCUCCUUCUCGAGAACCGUCGACGACCCGACCUACGACAGCGAAAGUUAUCUUACGAUCAGAAGUCGUGUGCAUAGAAAAGGGAUCGACGGGACGACACACACAAACCUUAAGAAGGUGACGUAAUAGUACCUGUUUUAUAUGUCGUAGAAGCCUAAGGAAUACUUCUAAACCUAUAGAAGUGUUAACCUUUACACCUUUUCGCUAGUUCUACCGAAACCCAAGUAACAGAUCAAGAGAUGUAUUAUAGACCUCAUCGAACGUAAGAGGAUAUAGAACUCAAAUCCGUGUAACGAUCUGACUCCGAGGAAGUGGAAUUUGCACGUUGUGGGUUAGGUCCGGUUAAAUGACACGAACAAGCGCCUUAUGGUUUCUGGUUCUUUCUUAGCACGUCAUCACGGCAACUACUAAAGAAGUGGUUCAUAGUACGCAGUUCAAUGGAUAAGGUGGUUUAACAAAUGUUUUGACCCUUUCAAGUCUUCUAUUACUGACCACGCUUCUUCCGUACAUCUUUCAACUUUUUAAAGUGCCUGUGGUGACAUCUAGUCUCGACGUUUCGUUAAUGUAUGGCCACAACAGAAACACCACGGAGAAGUUUAAGAAAGGUUAACAACGGGUGACUACUUCAACAUGGCUCGUUUCCUUUUCAACUGGACCUGCUAAGAUCGAACUUGUAUCUAUUACUCCUUACACGUCGACGAAAACAUAAAAAGUUUUGAGCCAUACCUCGUGAACAGCGCAGUCUGCAUGAAGUCUGUAGUUUGGGAUGCUUCACCCAAUGACUAGAUCGAGGUCUUGGUUUACUACACAUAACCAGUUUGUAAACCGAAGGGAUAUUCGUCGAAACCUAAGCUGCCUAUCGCUGCGAUGAACCAAGACAACAAAAAUACGAGAAUAAAGACCGUGGCCACUGCAAAUAUUUACCAGAUAGAGUCGAACUAGUCAACGUCUUCUCCGAAGGAAAGGAAUUGCCCUAUAACUUCGUCGGUGUGGUGGACCAGGUUGAUUAUUGACCUAUGGAAGGCUCACAGUAUGACGUUUAUAAAGACAUGUGGCAACGCGGUUAUUACUACGACAAAAGUUGUGAUCUUCCCGGAUAUAGAGUGUCGCUUUCCUUCUCCUCACGCACGACAUUUCACGACAUGAAGAACUAAACCUUACAUAAGAAACAAUUACACCAUAGACCGUGACAGAAUUUUGUUAACCUAAAAAAGAGUUCGGGCUUCCUGUAAGGACAGGUCGAGCGAUUCCAAUAUGGACCCGUCCGAAGGAAGAAGUAGUGGAUACAAGACUGAAGUCCUACCCGGUCAAAUAGUAGACUUGAAUACGUUGAGAAACCAGACUAGAUAUUGAAGUAUUCCUUCAUACAAGACUCUUACUUUCUUCUAUGUCUCAAACAGGGGAGCAAGGGUAUAGUGUGACUUCAUGGUUUUCAAGACAACAAACCUGAUAACCCUAAGUGUACGAGACAUGACCGCGGGAACUAGAAUGGAAAAGACGAUCAGAUGAAGAAGGACCCGAUACAGCAUAUGGCGUUAGUCGACGAGUUACACAUGGCGUGCUCUAUGCUGUGGCCACCAAACAUAACCGGCUAAUAUGUGUUGUGUCACUAUAAAAGAGAGCACGAGUGGGUCUAGUAGACGGAGCCGUAUAAACCCGACUUUCAUAGUGGUCAUCGACGUCCGAAGUGGUAUGGAGAGUAGUAGAAGUGAGAAGACAAGUUAGUCAUGACGUCUUGGGCCGAAGAAGGUGACAAGUCGUGAAAGGGUCGUGUCUUAAAUUAGCUGUACCUGUCCCUCCUGCUCCACAGCCCUUCUUACCUUGUAUAAGUGGUGCCCGAGGUGUGGCGCAUAACGGUCAAGGGACUGGGGCUUCUUCUACAUGUUGACCUCCUCUAAGCCUGGCAGCCCUUGCUACUCCUGCCGCCUCCAACAUCGAGCCCGCCCAGGUUGCCGUUUCCAUCGGGCCCGCUCGGGUUGCCGUUUCUCUGGGAGCUCCUUGUCGUCGUCGGGUCCUCCCUGGACAGAGUGGGCUGCGAGUUUCCCGAGGGGCAGUCGGCAGACGUCUUACGCCAGGGCUCCUGUAGUUCCUACUACGAAUCUACU
This 2573-nucleotide ribosomal RNA is filed under the name Triticum aestivum (bread wheat). RNAcentral's name for it is "partial small subunit ribosomal RNA". Lineage: Eukaryota; Viridiplantae; Streptophyta; Magnoliopsida; Poales; Poaceae. The record is from RNAcentral.